UGAGAGAGCUGGACCCUGUACAAAUGUCCAACUGGAUGGAUAAACUCUGAAAGAACAGUCUGCCAGAAAAACUGUCAGAACAGGAAGAAAAUAUCCCCAUGAAACUUUUAUGCAUGUGGUUUUGGUCUUCUGGGUUGAAUCACUGUGCCAUGACUUUGAAGAUCACUCCAGAAUCCAGAGCUACUCACAGCAGCAAGUCAUGGAGGUUUUGGAGCACAAGAUGCCAGGAGCGAGUUGGAAAAGAAGGCUUUUACAUACCCUGCUGCUCUGCCUGGGAGGUAAAAAGGGGUAAUCUUUUUGCACACCACAUGAAGCAGGUGAUAUUCUUUUGCUACCAGAAGGAUCUGAAAACUUUGUGAAAAUGGUGCUGUUUAAUACUUUCCCAUGGCAAAGGUUAGCUCCUACGUGUGUGUGUUGGUUGAAUAAAACAUUUUCUUAUUAAAGUGAUAUGCUUCAGAAGGAUUUUGUAACUGAUGAGAAUGUAGGAAAAAUACGUAUUGCCACUGAAUUUUUUAGUGACAUGUCACAGCCCUAGCUGGCUGCUGCAUAUCACAAAAUACAGAGAAGCAUGCAUAGUCUGUUCAAAGGUUGUUUAUUUCAAAGAUGCAGACAUUUAAAAGAGCUCUAAAGGGCAUAUUGUUAUGCAGACUUUCAAGCAUAUUAAGUCUAUUUGGAGAAAUGUGAUACAGAUAUAUUGCUGGCAAUGCACAAAGAGGUUAUAGGCAUGCUGUGUGCUAGACAAUAUGGAGUUUAUAAUAUGGAAAUAAAAAUU
Molecule: long non-coding RNA, 772 nt
Organism: Cygnus atratus (black swan)
Lineage: Eukaryota; Metazoa; Chordata; Aves; Anseriformes; Anatidae
Exons: 3
Source: RefSeq, a predicted model, not a curated record